This 65-nucleotide transfer RNA is filed under the name Ceraphronidae sp. ZJUH_2016007. RNAcentral's name for it is "tRNA-His". The record is from RNAcentral. Lineage: Eukaryota; Metazoa; Arthropoda; Insecta; Hymenoptera; Ceraphronidae.
AUUCAUAUAGUUUAAAUUUAUAAAAUAUUAAUUUGUGGUAUUAAAGAUAUUAACAAUUUUGAAUU